This is a long non-coding RNA of Ornithodoros turicata, 502 nucleotides long. RefSeq lists it as uncharacterized. The transcript has 3 exons. NCBI's taxonomy places the organism in Eukaryota, Metazoa, Arthropoda, Arachnida, Ixodida, Argasidae. The record is from RefSeq and is a predicted model, not a curated record.
AUGGACACUCGGUGUCGUCUCCUGCGCUUAGGAAACACGCACAAUGUACGUCCUUUGGAUCGGCACUGCUGUCAUACUCUGCGAUGCUUGUGGUGGAGUUCUUACCCCACACUGUCCCGACCAUCCGGAACCCGAGGGAUGGUCCAGAGUCGAUCCGUACUCGAGUCCGCUCUAUAUGGAUGUGGCACAGUUCGCAGCUUCUCGGCAAACCGGUGAAGCUGGACGCACGAAGUACUAUGAUGCCGUGUUACAAGUGGAGGAAGUAUGGACGCAGGAUACUGCGUAUGGAUGCAUGGCCCACAAGGUCAAGUUCUCCGCUGCACAGUCAACCUGCAAAAUAGGCGAGAAAUACGUAGCAGCAAGAUGCCCUCCGAAACGCCAUCGUGACGGUCUUAAGCUCAGGCAUUGCGCAGCCACAGUUCUAACGCAGUGGGUCUCUGGGAAGCGAAAAGUUGUGCAAUACAGAUGUAAGGAUUUGUAAUAAACAGUGGUAGGCAUUUCA